UGGGGAAUCUUCCGCAAUGGACGAAAGUCUGACGGAGCAACGCCGCGUGAGUGAUGACGGCCUUCGGGUUGUAAAGCUCUGUUAAUCGGGACGAAUGGUUCUUGUGCGAAUAGUGCGAGGAUUUGACGGUACCGGAAUAGAAAGCCACGGCUAACUACGUGCCAGCAGCCGCGGUAAUACGUAGGUGGCAAGCGUUGUCCGGAAUUAUUGGGCGUAAAGCGCGCGCAGGCGGAUUGGUCAGUCUGUCUUAAAAGUUCGGGGCUUAACCCCGUGAUGGGAUGGUAACUGCCAAUCUAGAGUAUCGGAGAGGAAAGUGGAAUUCCUAGUGUAGCGGUGAAAUGCGUAGAUAUUAGGAAGAACACCAGUGGCGAAGGCGACUUUCUGGACGAAGACUGACGCUGAGGCGCGAAAGCCAGGGGAGCGAACGGG
Molecule: ribosomal RNA, 429 nt
Filed under: bacterium
Lineage: Bacteria
Description: partial 16S ribosomal RNA
Rfam family: Bacterial small subunit ribosomal RNA
Source: RNAcentral